UACGAAGGGGGCUAGCGUUGUUCGGAAUCACUGGGCGUAAAGCGCACGUAGGCGGAUACUUAAGUCAGGGGUGAAAUCCCGGGGCUCAACCCCGGAACUGCCUUUGAUACUGGGUAUCUCGAGUCCGGAAGAGGUGAGUGGAAUUCCGAGUGUAGAGGUGAAAUUCGUAGAUAUUCGGAGGAACACCAGUGGCGAAGGCGGCUCACUGGUCCGGUACUGACGCUGAGGUGCGAAAGCGUGGGGAGCAAACAGG
RNAcentral lists this ribosomal RNA (253 nucleotides) under uncultured bacterium. RNAcentral describes it as "partial 16S ribosomal RNA". It matches the Rfam family "Bacterial small subunit ribosomal RNA", at positions 524 to 776 of the family's 1533-position model. The record is from RNAcentral.